This is a long non-coding RNA of Pseudophryne corroboree (corroboree frog), 3192 nucleotides long. RefSeq lists it as uncharacterized. The record is from RefSeq and is a predicted model, not a curated record. NCBI's taxonomy places the organism in Eukaryota, Metazoa, Chordata, Amphibia, Anura, Myobatrachidae. The transcript has 4 exons.
GUUGGAAAAAAGCAGUACUGGUCGUCCUACAGUAACUCCCAUGACAUCUGAUGAUGAUGACGCUGCGGAAGCAGGUCCAUCAAAAGAAGUCUGGAGCAGCAGAAGUAGGACUUCUGUAACACACCACCAAAAAAAACAUGUGGCACCAAAGAAAGCAAGGUCUUAUGUCCAGGGCCAACCACAGCAGGCUACCCCGCCACGAAGAUUAUCGACAGUAUGUUCGGUCCCCCCACUCCAAAUUUUGGACACACCUCCAAGACGUGAACCACACUCCCCUCAUCUUGAUUGUCCCACCGAGAUCAACCCAACAUUGACACACGAAAAAGAAAGGUGGGCUAAAGCCGGAACACCUGAAUCAACAGUGGCCACAGCAACCAGCUAAAGAAGAUCCAAGCUACUGUGACCAGCACACAACCAAUCCCUGUGAAAGGUGCUUGUCAUAAUCUACAUCCUGGUGAUGAGGUGAUGGUCAGAAAUUUCCUGAGAUCGGGCUCGCUGACAGACCGGUGGGAAGAACCUUAUCAAGUCUUGUUGACAACCCCAACUGCUGUUAAGAUAAAGAAGAAGACUUCGUGAAUCCACUCCACCCACUGCAGAAAAGUCACGCCUCCUGAGACAGCACAUGUGGAAAAUAUUCUCCAAGACUCCUCUGCACUUCACCAGUAAAACCAGCAAGUGAGUGGUUCGGGCAUAAUAAUCCCUUGAGCCACUUGCCAACGCAGUAUCUCUGUGGAGGGUACAUAACUCCUAGAAGAGUACUGUGAAGAUCAAAGGACAACAAAGACAAUGCUAAACAAAAUGAUGCUGAUAGGCCAAAGGCCAGACCGUGAACUAUGGGGGUGCAUUCUCUCAUGGGCAUGUCUGAUUACAAUCAUACUCAUUGUGCUUGAGUGUUGUAUAUACAUUCCAGGGUCUGUUAACAAUGUGACCAGUCAAACAGGUAAUGUAACGUCUUACAAUGAAGCGUUAUUCAAGACACGUGUGUGUAGGGCUUUACAAAAGAAUAAUUAUGAAGAAGAAUUUACAGGUAAUUCCAUGAUAGCAAUGCACAGUAAAAUUGCAAAGGCUCUCAACACAAGCAAAUGUUGAAUUUGUACCCACCUACCCAUCAGUGUAGAUGCAGGUAUACCCCUCCUGGCUCAUUACAUAAGCACAGCUGACAUGAUAGACAGAGAUUAGUCCUGCCAUAAGCAAAAAAAUGGUAGUCGAAGUUGUGCCAAUAAAACACCUAAAGUACAGAAUAUAGUAGACUUCCCAUAUUUGGAUGUCUUAAACGCAGGCUUGCUGUAUGCGCCCGCUCUGCAGGUAUCUGCAGCCAAAGGGAAACCUGAAUUCUGCUUAAGUGUUAAUAAAAAGUCCCACCCAUAUGUGUACAAGGAAAAAAUAUUACAGGUAAAAAGCCCAAACCUAGGGUACACUAACUAUACUGGAGCCACAUUUGUAGUUCAAAGUUCAAAAAAGUGUACACUAAAAACCCUCAAAACCUGUUGGCAUUCCAUAGAUGCAAAUGGGGCAUUAACACCUAACGAUACUUUAUACCAACUACAGAAAAAGGUGUACACUUGAUAACAGCACAUGUGAAGAUGCCAAUGGUAAUAACACAGAGUACUUUAUGAUAUACAUAAGGUUCAUUUAUACCAAAACUUUUGGGAUGCCUCUGCCUAAGGGUAUGUAUUGGGUUUGUGAAAAAUGGGCAUAGUCAUGAAUUCCCUUGGGUGCUAAAGGACAAUGUGUACUCUCCUCAGUAUUCCUAUAGCGCAUGACUUGGUGCCAAGUGACCUGACAUAUUUAAGACAUCUCAGUAAAAGAGAAGUAAAAAAAAGGAUAUGUAUCUUUCAGAUUUUCUGAUGCUGAACGUACGGCUGGAACUUUGUUUCCUCUGUCCACUAUCUAUUUGGUAAAAAAAGUUGUGUCCCAAACCUUAACGGUACUAGAUCAGAUGGUAGAAAAAUUGGUAGUUUCAAUCAAUCAGACAGUAAAAGAGCUGGCUCAAGUAAAAAAAGUGGCUUUACAAAAUAGAAGCAAGGUGGAAAAGUUGCAAGAAAAAAUGAGAAGGUUAGGUGCUAGUGAAGGUUGGGAUCCACUUAAAUGGCUAGGAGGAAAUAUUGCAAAGCUUUUUUCUGGAGUAUUGCAGUACAUUGUGUUUGCUGCACUGAUUGUAAAAAUCAUAUAUCUUACCAUCAAGUGUGGACCAGUAGUCUGUGUACAAUGUGGUAAAGGAUUUAAAAGGUUGAAAGUGCACCAUAAAAUGACCAUUGUGGUGGUAGAUGAUGAGGUUCCACUAGAACAGGUGACUCAGGGAACAAGUCAGGGGCAGCAGAAAAGACAGGUGGUAUAUGCUGACAUGAGCAAAUCUUAUGAAAGUUUACAACUCCAGGAAGCUGAGCCCAUAUACCAGGCUUUAGAGGAGGAUCAGGCAGGUAGAAAAAGUACACAGCUUGUUAAUUUUACUUAUGGACUGGAUAACAGGGUAGAAAUGAAUCAGGAUGAGUAUGUUAGACAUGAAAUACAAGCGAGUUUCACCUAACUGUGUCAACACCCUCUUAGCCAACACCAGAAGGUUCCUAUAAAAAGAACAGGGAUUCCCGUCCAGUGCGGUAAGCAUUGGCGCCAGGCCCAUCCCCGUGAACCUACCUUUUUCCUAUGUUGUGCGUCUACCUAACCCUCAUUAAAAAUUGUGAAAUUGAACCUUCUGAUUUGUGUAUUAGAGUGCCAAGUAUAUUGGCAGAGAGAGGAAUAAUAUAGAUAAGUGAAUACACAAAAUGGAAGCUGGAUGUCAGUUUGUCUAUUGCUUAAAAGAAACUGUUGCUUUAAAUGAGAUUCUUAUAUGUUUGCAGAAACUUUGAUUUUAGUAGCAAUUAAGGAAGUUAGUCUAGCUUUACAGUAUUUCAUAGACUGUGGUUAGCUAGUAUCCUAUAGAAAAGGGAAGUCGAAAGUAUGUUGAAGGUAAAAGUAUAUUUUUAAUGUAACAGUCAUAAUCACAAGAUGCUGAGCUAAUUAAUUGGAAAUCCCCCAUAAGGGGAGUUUAUAAAUUAUAAUAUAUUCUGAUAUUUGAAAUGUAAUUGGUCUAUGUAUAUGAUUGGCUUGUUAAUUUGAUUAGAUCAUGUAAUGCUAUGAUAAAAGUAUAUAAGAUGAAAUCAACGUGUCAAUGUGCAGUUCAUGAUAUUCUUUUAUCGUGAGCCCUGUGAACUU